This 254-nucleotide ribosomal RNA is filed under the name uncultured bacterium. RNAcentral describes it as "partial 16S ribosomal RNA". It matches the Rfam family "Bacterial small subunit ribosomal RNA", at positions 524 to 776 of the family's 1533-position model. The record is from RNAcentral.
UACAGAGGUCUCAACCGUUGUUCGGAUUCAUUGGGCGUAAAGGGUGCGUAGGCGGUCGCGCAAGUCGGAUGUGAAAUCUCAGGGCUUAACCCUGGACCUGCAUCGGGUACGGGCAGACUAGAGUGCGGUAGGGGAGAUCGGAAUUCCUGGUGUAGCGGUGAAAUGCGCAGAGUAUCAGGAGGAACACCGGUGGCGAAGGCGGAUCUCUGGGCCGUAACUGACGCUGAGGAGCGAAAGCAUGGGGAGCGAACAGG